This 73-nucleotide non-coding RNA is filed under the name unclassified sequences. The record is from RNAcentral.
AUCUGUCGAUAUAGGCAGAUAAUGUAAUGCAGCCAAUGGCCGGUUACAAGCCCGGGAAAAUGCAGAGUACAUU